GACGAACGCUGGCGGCGUGCUUAACACAUGCAAGUCGAACGGAAAGACCCUGCUUUUGUGGGGUGCUCGAGUGGCGAACGGGUGAGUAACACGUGAGUAACCUGCCCUUGACUUUGGGAUAACUUCAGGAAACUGGGGCUAAUACCGGAUAGGAGCUCCUGCUGCAUGGUGGGGGUUGGAAAGUUUCGGCGGUUGGGGAUGGACUCGCGGCUUAUCAGCUUGUUGGUGGGGUAGUGGCUUACCAAGGCUUUGACGGGUAGCCGGCCUGAGAGGGUGACCGGCCACAUUGGGACUGAGAUACGGCCCAGACUCCUACGGGAGGCAGCAGUGGGGAAUAUUGCACAAUGGGCGGAAGCCUGAGGCAGCAACGCCGCGUGCGGGAUGACGGCCUUCGGGUUGUAAACCGCUUUCGCCUGUGACGAAGCGUGAGUGACGGUAAUGGGUAAAGAAGCACCGGCUAACUACGU
This 467-nucleotide ribosomal RNA is filed under the name uncultured bacterium. Its description in RNAcentral is "partial 16S ribosomal RNA". It matches the Rfam family "Bacterial small subunit ribosomal RNA", at positions 28 to 506 of the family's 1533-position model. The record is from RNAcentral.